CUCUCUCUCCCCUCUCUCUCUCUUUUCCUCCUGUUCUCUAUCUUCUCCUUUUUUCUUCCUUCCCUCUGCCUUUCUCUUCGGUAAAUUAGCCUGAAAUAAUUCAUACAGAGGAAGGUAUUGAAGGCAAAUCGGUGAGCUGCUUUGUGUGAAGUGGCUGCCGCUGUCACACCCCAAGCAUUCGUUGCUCCGGGAAUGCAGCUUGCCGGAAGGAAGCAAUCCCAACUGUCUUUCAACCUGAAGGACUGAUGGAACUGUUCUCCAUGAACGAUUGACUCCAGAGAAAGAAAAAGAACUUCUAAGAUCAGAGCGGCCAACGGUAUCUGCUGCAUACUACAACGGGUGGUGUCAAGGAGCGUAGGACAGCUGAUGCCGGGGACUGGUUCUUGUGCCCCUCAUUCCCUGUGUCCUUGUUCUGCAAUCCCUGCCGCAGUGACGACUUCAGCCCUAGCUGAUCCCUGAGCCUCUUCCCAGCCUGUGCUGCCGACUGGCACAGCGGGUACAGCUCAUGAUCAGCUCGCCACCCCGGCUGUCUCCUGGGCAGCUGUGCCAGCACCUUGUACUGGGCAGAUGCCACCUUAGCAUUUGCUGACGCUGUGGGUCUCUCUGGGACUUGACCGUGAUACCCGCUCAACCACCCUGGAUCGGGCAACUACUCCUGCAGCUCUUGAUUGCAGAAUCACUUUUGCCGUGUAACGAAAAGGUAGGCAGCACCCUUGACUUCAUCUCGACGACGGCGGAAGGGCGUGCUGGCGUAUUUCACAGGCACGGGGAGACUGACUGACUCACGCCCCCAGCACACUACACCACAGCACUCUUCCAGUGCAGGCACCGUACGUCGGUGCCCCAGAGUCCUUUACGGGGAUGGAAUCUCAAACCCCAUUGCCCUGUUAUUUCCCCCCAAAUGCCUCUAGUUAUUUCUAACACACUCCCCCAACCCCAGCCAACAGGACUUUUGAUCCAGACAGGAGGAGAAAGGACACAUUUAUCUGACCUCCUGUCCUUCUUUUUCUCUACUCUGACAUCCAGAACUCUGGACCAAAAAGGAGGUCAUUUUCUACCUCUGCAUCCUCUCUCUUCCGAGCUCCUGUUGCAGUCACUUUCUUCUCUCUCCAGGGACCUUCUUUGUUCCAGCAGGUGUUUAUCUCUAUCUCUCCCAGGGAAAUGAGCCUUAUGCGCUAGCCCUGACAGGGAAGGUGCUUACCCUGA
Long non-coding RNA from Chinchilla lanigera (long-tailed chinchilla), 1206 nucleotides. RefSeq lists it as uncharacterized. The transcript has 4 exons. Lineage: Eukaryota; Metazoa; Chordata; Mammalia; Rodentia; Chinchillidae. The record is from RefSeq and is a predicted model, not a curated record.